Molecule: small RNA, 91 nt
Filed under: Marmota monax (woodchuck)
Lineage: Eukaryota; Metazoa; Chordata; Mammalia; Rodentia; Sciuridae
Source: RNAcentral
GCUGGGUAUGUUGGUGCACCCCUGUAAUCCCAGCUACUCAGGAGGCUGAGACAGGAGGAUUAUAAAUUCAAUUAGUGAGAACCUGUCUCAA